AUUGAACGCUGGCGGAAUGCUUUACACAUGCAAGUCGAGCGGCAGCGCGGGGCAACCUGGCGGCGAGCGGCGAACGGGUGAGUAAUGUAUCGGAACGUACCCAGUCGUGGGGGAUAACUAUCCGAAAGGAUAGCUAAUACCGCAUACGUCCUGAGGGAGAAAGCGGGGGAUCGCAAGACCUCGCGCGAUUGGAGCGGCCGAUAUCGGAUUAGCUAGUUGGUGAGGUAAAGGCUCACCAAGGCGACGAUCCGUAGCUGGUCUGAGAGGACGACCAGCCACACUGGAACUGAGACACGGUCCAGACUCCUACGGGAGGCAGCAGUGGGGAAUUUUUGGACAAUGGGGGCGAACCCUGAUCCAGCCAUUCCGCGUGAGUGAAGAAGGCCUCGGUG
Molecule: ribosomal RNA, 392 nt
Filed under: uncultured bacterium
Lineage: Bacteria
Description: bacterial SSU rRNA
Rfam family: Bacterial small subunit ribosomal RNA
Source: RNAcentral